AGACCAACACCCCUGCUCCUGGCGGCUCCCACCCGGGACUUAGACCCUCAGGUCCCUAAUAUCCCGGAGGUGCUCUCAAUCAGAAAGGUCCUGCUCCGCUUCGCAGUGGAAUGGAACGGAUUUAGAAGCCUGCAGUAGGGGAGUGGGGAGUGGAGAGAGGGAGCCCAGAGUUACAGACGGCGGCGAGAGGCCCCAAAGAGUCUGAUGUUUACAAGACCAGAAAUGCCACGGCCGCGUCCUGGCAGAGAAAAGGCUGAAAUGGAGGACCGGCGCCUUCCUUAUAAGUAUGCACAUUGGCGAGAGAAGUGCUGCAACCUAAACCAGCAAUUACACCCAAGCUCGUUGGGGCCUAAGCCAGUACCGACCUGGUAGAAAAAGCAACCACGAAGCUAGAGAGAGAGCCAGAGGAGGGAAGAGAGCGCCAGACGAAGGUGAAAGCGAACCACGCAGAGAAAUGCAGGCAAGGGAGCAAGGCGGCAGUUCCCGGAACAAACGUGGCAGAGGGCAAGACGGGCACUCACAGACAGAGGUUUAUGUAUUUUUAUUUUUUAAAAUCUGAUUU
This 562-nucleotide long non-coding RNA is filed under the name Homo sapiens (human). RNAcentral's name for it is "HOX transcript antisense RNA". Lineage: Eukaryota; Metazoa; Chordata; Mammalia; Primates; Hominidae. The record is from RNAcentral.